RNAcentral lists this ribosomal RNA (253 nucleotides) under uncultured bacterium. Its description in RNAcentral is "partial 16S ribosomal RNA". It matches the Rfam family "Bacterial small subunit ribosomal RNA", at positions 524 to 776 of the family's 1533-position model. The record is from RNAcentral.
UACGGAGGGUGCAAGCAUUGAUCGGAAUUACUGGGCGUAAAGGGCGCGUAGGCGGUAGGAUAAGUCGGAUGUGAAAUUCCGGGGCUCAACCCCGGAGCUGCAUUUGAAACUGUCCUUCUAGAGUUCAGUUAGGGUAAACGGAAUUCCACGUGUAGCGGUGAAAUGCUUAGAUAUGACAUAGAACACCCAUUGCGAAGGCAGCUUACUACACGAUCAUUGACGCUGAGGCACGAAAGCGUGGGGAGCAAACAGG